AUUGAACGCUGGCGGCAUGCCUUACACAUGCAAGUCGAACGGCAGCACGGGUGCUUGCACCUGGUGGCGAGUGGCGAACGGGUGUGUAAUACAUCGGAACGUACCUUAUCGUGGGGGAUAACGCAGCGAAAGCUGUGCUAAUACCGCAUACGCCCUGAGGGGGAAAGCGGGGGAUCGCAAGACCUCGCGCGAUUAGAGCGGCCGAUGCCUGAUUAGCUUGUUGGUGGGGUAAAAGCCCACCAAGGCGACGAUCAGUAGCUGGUCUGAGAGGACGAUCAGCCACACUGGGACUGAGACACGGCCCAGACUCCUACGGGAGGCAGCAGUGGGGAAUUUUGGACAGUGGGGGCAACCCUGAUCCAGCAAUGCCGCGUGAGUGAAGAAGGCCUUCGGGUUGUAAAGCCCUUUUGUCAGGGAAGAAACACCGGCUCUAACACAGUCCGGGAAUGACGGUACCUGAAGAAUAAGCACCGGCUAACUACGUGCCAGCCGCCGCAGUAA
RNAcentral lists this ribosomal RNA (501 nucleotides) under uncultured bacterium. RNAcentral describes it as "partial 16S ribosomal RNA". It matches the Rfam family "Bacterial small subunit ribosomal RNA", at positions 29 to 523 of the family's 1533-position model. The record is from RNAcentral.